CCCUUAGAUGUUCUGGGCUGCACGCGCGCUACACUGAAGCUAUCAACACGUUUUCCCUCCCUGAGAAGGGCGGGUAACCUUUAGAAUCAGCUUCGUGGUAGGGAUCGGGGCUUGCAAUUGUUCCCCGUGAACCAGGAAUUCCUAGUAGACGCGAGUCAUAAGCUCGCAUCGAUUAAGUCCCUGCCCUUUGUACACACCGCCCGUCGCUACUACCGAUUGAACGUUUUAGUGAGGCAUUUGGACCGACGCAUCUCAGUUUAACCGCUGGUUUGUGUUGGAAAGACUUCCAAACUUGAGCGUUUAGAGGAAGUAAAAGUCGUAACA
RNAcentral lists this ribosomal RNA (324 nucleotides) under uncultured eukaryote. RNAcentral describes it as "partial 18S ribosomal RNA". It matches the Rfam family "Eukaryotic small subunit ribosomal RNA", at positions 1470 to 1796 of the family's 1831-position model. The record is from RNAcentral.